AUGAAUCAACCAAUUGACUUGCAAAAGCCCAAACUUGUAUUCCUAUCUUGGCAGACAAUCUUGUUCCUGACACGGGCAAUAAUGGACCACUCCGGGAUGCAAGUCCAAGAGCAGCUGAAUGCAAAACAACACAUGGCAUCGACUUGUUGGCAGCGGUUGCCACAGGCACCUGCCCUGCCCAGAUCACAUCUCCAGCAGCAAAUGGAAAUCCCAAACAUACUUGCAACUGCUCUUGCUGAUGCGCCUCCUCCAUCCGAAGGCAGGCAGGCUCCCGGUCGCAGCAGAGCAAGGAGAGGACACGGACAAGGAGCGAGAGAGCCACCUAUCCUCAAGCCGGCUGAUAUGAGGCUGCAGUGA
RNAcentral lists this ribosomal RNA (357 nucleotides) under Triticum aestivum (bread wheat). RNAcentral describes it as "partial small subunit ribosomal RNA". Lineage: Eukaryota; Viridiplantae; Streptophyta; Magnoliopsida; Poales; Poaceae. The record is from RNAcentral.